UUCUUGGUCAUUUAGAGGAAGUAAAAGUCGUAACAAGGUUUCCGUAGGUGAACCUGCGGAAGGAUCAUUAAAGAAAUUUAAUAAUUUUGAAAAUGGAUUUUUUUGUUCUGGCAAGAGCAUGAGAGCUUUUACUGGGCAAGAAGACAAGAGAUGGAGAGUCCAGCCGGGCCUGCGCUUAAGUGCGCGGUCUUGCUAGGCUUGUAAGUUUCUUUCUUGCUAUUCCAAACGGUGAGAGAUUUCUGUGCUUUUGUUAUAGGACAAUUAAAACCGUUUCAAUACAACACACUGUGGAGUUUUCAUAUCUUUGCGACUUUUUCUUUGGGCAUUCGAGCAAUCGGGGCCCAGAGGUAACAAACACAAACAAUUUUAUCUAUUCAUUAAAUUUUUGUCAAAAACAAGAAUUUUCGUAACUGGAAAUUUUAAAAUAUUAAAAACUUUCAACAACGGAUCUCUUGGUUCUCGCAUCGAUGAAGAACGCAGCGAAAUGCGAUACGUAAUGUGAAUUGCAGAAUUCCGUGAAUCAUCGAAUCUUUGAACGCACAUUGCGCCCCUUGGUAUUCCAGGGGGUAUGCCUGUUUGAGCGUCAUUUCCUUCUCAAACAUUCUGUUUGGUAGUGAGUGAUACUCUUUGGAGUUAACUUGAAAUUGCUGGCCUUUUCAUUGGAUGUUUUUUUUCCAAAGAGAGGUUUCUCUGCGUGCUUGAGGUAUAAUGCAAGUACGGUCGUUUUAGGUUUUACCAACUGCGGCUAAUCUUUUUUUAUACUGAGCGUAUUGGAACGUUAUCGAUAAGAAGAGAGCGUCUAGGCGAACAAUGUUCUUAAAGUUUGACCUCAAAUCAGGUAGGAGUACCCGCUGAACUUAAGCAUAUCAAUAAGCGGAGGAA
RNAcentral lists this ribosomal RNA (882 nucleotides) under uncultured fungus. RNAcentral's name for it is "eukaryotic LSU rRNA". The stretch from base 433 to 586 matches the Rfam family "5.8S ribosomal RNA". Lineage: Eukaryota; Fungi. The record is from RNAcentral.